CCUACGGGUGGCAGCAGUGGGGAAUAUUGGACAAUGGGCGAAAGCCUGAUCCAGCCAUGCCGCGUGUGUGAAGAAGGCCUUCGGGUUGUAAAGCACUUUCAGUGGGGAAGAAAGCCUUGGGGCUAAUACCCUCGAGGAAGGACAUCACCCACAGAAGAAGCACCGGCUAACUCCGUGCCAGCAGCCGCGGUAAUACGGAGGGUGCGAGCGUUAAUCGGAAUUACUGGGCGUAAAGCGCGCGUAGGCGGUCUGAUAAGCCGGUUGUGAAAGCCCCGGGCUCAACCUGGGAACGGCAUCCGGAACUGUCAGGCUAGAGUGCAGGAGAGGGAGGUAGAAUUCCCGGUGUAGCGGUGAAAUGCGUAGAGAUCGGGAGGAAUACCAGUGGCGAAGGCGGCCUUCUGGACUGACACUGACGCUGAGGUGCGAAAGCGUGGGUAGCAAACAGGAUUAGAUACCCUGGUAGUC
Molecule: ribosomal RNA, 465 nt
Filed under: Vreelandella stevensii
Lineage: Bacteria; Pseudomonadati; Pseudomonadota; Gammaproteobacteria; Oceanospirillales; Halomonadaceae
Description: partial 16S ribosomal RNA
Rfam family: Bacterial small subunit ribosomal RNA
Source: RNAcentral